Molecule: ribosomal RNA, 497 nt
Filed under: uncultured bacterium
Lineage: Bacteria
Description: partial 16S ribosomal RNA
Rfam family: Bacterial small subunit ribosomal RNA
Source: RNAcentral
GAUGAACGCUGGCGGCGUGCCUAAUACAUGCAAGUCGAGCGAACAGACGAGGAGCUUGCUCCUCUGACGUUAGCGGCGGACGGGUGAGUAACACGUGGAUAACCUACCUAUAAGACUGGGAUAACUUCGGGAAACCGGAGCUAAUACCGGAUAAUAUAUUGAACCGCAUGGUUCAAUAGUGAACGACGGUUUUGCUGUCACUUAUAGAUGGAUCCGCGCCGCAUUAGCUAGUUGGUAAGGUAACGGCUUACCAAGGCAACGAUGCGUAGCCGACCUGAGAGGGUGAUCAGCCACACUGGAACUGAGACACGGUCCAGACUCCUACGGGAGGCAGCAGUAGGGAAUCUUCCGCAAUGGGCGAAAGCUUGACGGAGCAACGCCGCGUGAGUGAUGAAGGUCUUCGGAUCGUAAAACUCUGUUAUUAGGGAAGAACAAAUGUGUAAGUAACUAUGCACGUCUUGACGGUACCUAAUCAGAAAGCCACGGCUAACUACGUG